AGUUCUGCACAUUUCCUGAAUUCCUCUGUGAAGGAAUUUCCGAAAGAAUUUUCUCUAUAUGAUUUUCACACCUCUACUGAAGUUUGGAACCUAAUUCCAACCCAUCUCCAUAAGAUGAGCAUCCACUGCAAUCACUCAUGUUCAGGAAUUGAGAAUACUUUAGUACAAACUGUACCUGAGCCAUAUGAAAAACUAUCUUCAGCAGGUUGUGUAAUGAGUGUGUAACAAUGACAAGGGACAUUUAUUCACCUUAAAACGUGUUGUCCUUUAGCCACUGUCUCCUGCUACAGGGGUUGCCCUUGGCAAGAAAGUCACUUUCAUUAGGGCUCACACAGGCAAGACUCCUUCAUUUGACAGCUGAUAGGUAAGUAUUGCAGGCCUUGGCCUUUGUGACUGUCCCUAAAUAGCCCUGCAGGUUGGAUAAGUCUGCCCAAUUCUGGGGAUCAUUAGUAGGAAGCUGACUGGCAAGCCAGUCUAAGUCACAUUCUUCAAUAUCAGCUUUAUAGGAAUAACGUUGUUAUGAUGUUUUAUAUUUUGGUCCCAUAUCUCAGGUUUGGAGCAUCAGUGUCUUUUGGGUGCUCCUUAAAGACAUAAGAAUUGUGAAGUAAAAAGGAAUAUUUGGAGCAAUAAAAACACAAAAAGUGGUCUGGGGAUAUAACUCAGUGGUGGAGUAUUUAUCUAGCAUGUGAAGGCCCUGGGUUUCAUCCCCAACACUGAAAAAGAAAAAGGAAGAAAGAAAGACAAAACAAAUCAAGAGAAGAGCUGUGGGCCCAUUUUAAGAUCCACACAGAGGGUAGAGAACAAGUGCUCCUCAAGGGCAGGUGACUACCAAGACUCUUGAGGGAAGAGACCCUGGAUGUACAACCCCUAUUUAUCUUCCCAAACCAAGUCAUUCAUGUGAUGGAGAAGGAGUGAAUAUACAGAGAGGGAGAUGUGUUUUUGUCAUGGGUGUCUUUCCACAUUGAAGAAAAUAUCAGGUAUAGAGAUGAAGAAUUCCUCAGGAUUAACCAAUAUUGAAAAGAGUAUUAUUUCUCAACUGAAGAGAUUGUUAUUCUACUCCUGCCUCCCUGAAAUAACUCAGAUUUCCAAAUGAUAAAUUUUGUGUUUUUUAGUUCAUAGAGUUGAGUAAUUAUGAGCCGUAUCUUAGUUUUCCAAGAGAUGGAUAACUGUUCAGAAUGGUGUAUUUUAUGUGCUCACCUAUAGAAGGCUACCUCAUCACCAGGAUCCCUAGGAGAUAUUCUUGGGAAUUUGUGUGCUGGUGCUAUUUCCCUAAGUGUAACUUUUAUUUUAAAAGUUCUCUUUUUGUGUGUGU
RNAcentral lists this long non-coding RNA (1312 nucleotides) under Marmota monax (woodchuck). Lineage: Eukaryota; Metazoa; Chordata; Mammalia; Rodentia; Sciuridae. The record is from RNAcentral.